RNAcentral lists this ribosomal RNA (188 nucleotides) under Salmonella enterica. RNAcentral's name for it is "partial 16S ribosomal RNA". Lineage: Bacteria; Pseudomonadati; Pseudomonadota; Gammaproteobacteria; Enterobacterales; Enterobacteriaceae. The record is from RNAcentral.
AAAUUGAAGAGUUUGAUCAUGGCUCAGAUUGAACGCUGGCGGCAGGCCUAACACAUGCAAGUCGAACGGUAACAGGAAGCAGCUUGCUGCUUYGCUGACGAGUGGCGGACGGGUGAGUAAUGUCUGGGAAACUGCCUGAUGGAGGGGGAUAACUACUGGAAACGGUGGCAACUACUGGAAACGGUGGC